This is an RNA transcript of Mus musculus (house mouse), 4385 nucleotides long. It is a transcript of the gene named Fas-associated factor 1, with no coding region annotated. The record is from RefSeq and is marked validated. NCBI's taxonomy places the organism in Eukaryota, Metazoa, Chordata, Mammalia, Rodentia, Muridae. The transcript is spliced from 19 exons.
GCCCCCGUCGGGUUUGCCGUGGCUGGAGGGAGCCGGGCGCGCGCUGUCGCAACCUGUCCUCCUCCCAGGCGGCGACGGAAGGACCGGCCCGGCAUCGAGACCAGCCUCCCCGUCCCGGCAGCUGCGGCGAGGGCUCCGCGGGGCGCAGGCGGGCUCAGGGCGGCUGAAGGUUACCGAGUGCAUGAGCACCUAGUCUCCCGCGCUGCCCCGCCCGCCGGUCCGCCGGCCCUCCCGCCGGCUCGCCCGCCAGCCCUUCGCCACCCGGCGGCGGCCGCAGCUUCGGCCGCAGGAGGCGCCGUCUCGCUCCCAGGUGCGCGCUUCGUUCCCGGAGCCGCGGAGCUCGGCGGCCGCCAUGGCGUCCAACAUGGACCGGGAGAUGAUCCUUGCGGAUUUUCAGGCAUGUACUGGUAUUGAAAACAUCGAUGAAGCUAUUACACUGCUUGAGCAAAAUAACUGGGACUUGGUGGCAGCUAUUAAUGGUGUAAUACCACAGGAAAAUGGCAUUCUACAAAGUGACUUUGGAGGUGAGACCAUGCCAGGACCCACAUUUGAUCCAGCAAGUCACCCUGCUCCAGCUUCAACUCCCUCUUCUUCAGCGUUUCGACCUGUAAUGCCAUCCAGGCAGAUUGUAGAAAGGCAGCCUCGAAUGCUAGACUUCAGAGUUGAAUACAGAGACAGAAAUGUUGAUGUGGUACUUGAAGACAGCUGUACUGUUGGAGAGAUCAAACAGAUUCUAGAAAAUGAGCUUCAGAUACCUGUGCCUAAAAUGCUGUUAAAAGGCUGGAAGACUGGAGACGUGGAAGACAGUACGGUCUUAAAAUCACUACACUUGCCAAAAAACAACAGUCUUUAUGUCCUUACACCAGACUUGCCACCGCCUUCAUCAUCCAGCCAUGCUGGGUAAGUGCCCUGCAGGAAUCAUUAAAUCAAAACUUCAUGCUGAUCAUCACCCACCGAGAGGUCCAGCGGGAGUACAACCUGAACUUCUCAGGAAGCAGUACCGUUCAAGAGGUAAAGAGAAAUGUGUAUGACCUUACAAGCAUACCUGUUCGACAUCAGUUAUGGGAGGGCUGGCCAGCUUCUGCCACCGAUGACUCAAUGUGUCUUGCUGAAUCAGGCCUCUCUUAUCCCUGCCAUCGAUUAACUGUGGGAAGAAGAACUUCACCUGUACAGACCCGUGAGCAAUCAGAAGAGCAAAGCACGGAUGUUCAUAUGGUUAGUGAUAGUGAUGGCGAUGACUUUGAAGAUGCUUCAGAAUUUGGAGUGGAUGACGGAGAAGUAUUUGGCAUGGCAUCAUCUACCCUGAGAAAAUCUCCAAUGAUGCCAGAAAACGCAGAAAAUGAAGGAGAUGCCUUAUUACAAUUUACAGCAGAGUUUUCUUCAAGAUAUGGUGACUGCCAUCCUGUAUUUUUUAUUGGCUCAUUAGAAGCUGCUUUCCAAGAGGCCUUCUAUGUGAAAGCCCGAGACAGAAAACUUCUUGCUAUCUACCUCCACCAUGAUGAAAGUGUACUAACCAACGUGUUCUGCUCACAAAUGCUUUGUGCUGAAUCCAUUGUUUCCUAUCUGAGUCAAAAUUUUAUAACCUGGGCUUGGGAUCUGACAAAGGACACCAACAGAGCAAGAUUUCUGACAAUGUGCAAUAGACACUUUGGCAGCGUUAUUGCACAAACUAUUCGGACUCAAAAGACAGAUCAGUUUCCACUUUUCCUGAUUAUCAUGGGAAAGCGAUCAUCUAAUGAAGUGUUAAAUGUGAUACAAGGUAAUACAACAGUGGAUGAGUUAAUGAUGAGACUCAUGGCUGCAAUGGAGAUUUUCUCAGCUCAACAACAGGAAGACAUUAAGGAUGAGGAUGAACGUGAAGCCAGAGAAAAUGUGAAGAGAGAGCAAGAUGAGGCCUAUCGCCUUUCCCUCGAAGCCGACAGGGCAAAGAGAGAAGCUCAUGAGAGAGAGAUGGCAGAACAGUUUCGUUUGGAGCAGAUUCGCAAAGAACAAGAAGAAGAACGUGAGGCCAUCAGACUCUCCUUAGAACAAGCCCUUCCUCCAGAGCCGAAGGAAGAAAAUGCUGAGCCUGUUAGCAAGCUUCGGAUUCGAACCCCCAGUGGCGAGUUCCUGGAACGGCGUUUCCUGGCCAGCAAUAAGCUCCAGAUUGUCUUUGAUUUCGUGGCUUCCAAGGGAUUUCCAUGGGAUGAAUUCAAGUUACUGAGCACCUUUCCUAGGAGAGAUGUAACUCAGCUAGACCCCAAUAAGUCAUUAUUGGAGGUAAACUUGUUCCCUCAAGAAACCCUUUUCCUUCAAGCAAAAGAGUAAACAUGACUGAGAGGUGGAAGCAGCCACUCCUGACGAGCCAGCGGCACGUGUCAAGAGAUGGGCUCCUCACCAACCCACCUACCUGCUCGUGUCACUCAGUUCAAUGUCACACUUCUGCCUCUUGCAAGAUUGCUGGAAAAAAGUAAUAAACAUAGCUACUUAAAAUUUCCCAUCCAUGAGUAUAUGUUCCCCGCUCCUCAUGACGGAGUGCCACAACCCCAUUGCCCUCUCCUGAUGCCUGACUAGUGUUCUGUUGUGUGUGAGUGGCCCCAGGGGAACUUAACCUCUGUGCUACCCAUCUUUCCCUCAUUGUCCAAGACAGUUCUCUCUGUCCUAGACAUCAGGAUGCUGUGUAUCUGAUAUGUCUCAUUGAGCCAGGGCUCAUACCCUCUGCCUUUACCUUUCUAUAACUGCAGUUUAAGUUUAUCACCUAAUUUUAAAAGGCAAAGUGAAAAAAAGUCAAAUGGGACAUUUUGGGUCUGAACAUCAGACAUUUUGGGGUAGAGGGUAGAGGAGUGUAUCAUACAUCUGACUCCUUUACUAAGAUGUAAGAUUUUUGUUAGUAGACUGAUUUGAUAUGUAUGCAAGGUAUUUAUAUACUUCUGUCAUGCGCUGCAUAUUCCAUCUUGGAGGGGUUUGUUUGUUUGUUUGUUUGUUUGUUUGUUUCAUUGCAGCUUGGGAAACUAUUCAAGUACACAGUGUGUUGAGAUCACGAAGAGAAUGCUGGUACCAUUGUAGGCCAGCUGUGGCAAGCUGCUCUUCAACUUUUUGAGGCACUAGGAACUUCCUAGAUACCUGCUCCCACACUGCUAGUGUCUCUGUGGACACGACACACAGUUUUCCUGCCCUUUCUUCCUCAACAGCUUUAUACAUCUGGACCUAGUCAUGUGGUGGGGUGUCUGUUUGUUUGUUUGUUUGUUUUUGUUUUCACUUUAGGCUUUGGAGACCAGAGCUCAUUAUGUAGCUCAGGGGUGUGGCCUCAAACCUUCAGUAAUCUGCUUUACUCUCCAAGUGCCAAGAUUUCAGGCAUGCCCCACGAUACCUGGCCAGUGUCUGGUGUUUUAAACACCUUGUCCGUUGCCAAAAUCUAAUCAGCUGUCCCUUGGGCUUUCCUGCAUUAAGGGACUUGCUCUAUGAUUUUAUUUCUGAAUAUUUUAAUAUUAGAUAUUGAAUUUAUAUCCCAAAUAAAAGGAAUCUCAUUCUUUGGCUAAAAAUUCAGACUUCAUAUAUUUAAGAGAGCAAAUGUGGGGGCUUAGCCUAUAAUACAUGUGUUGCCAGAAUUGAUACAUAGUAAUCUUGGGUUUGAUUUAGUAGAAGUGCAUUUUGUUAAUCUGUGGGUUUAAGGUUUAAGGUAGUUCAUGAGAAUAUAAUUUAUAUCUUCACAGCCUAUUUUAGUCCUGAAAUGUUCUUUAUGGUGUUUUUGUGUCAUCUCCAGUCUUUAUCCUAAGAGCUGACCUACCAGUCUGGUUAUUUUGUAAGUGUGUUAGGUGUGUUUCCCUGGGACCAUCUUGGGGCUCUAAGAAGACUUACCCAAAGCUGGAGGUGUGUCUGGUCACUUUUUCCUCUACUCAGAAAGUAUUGCCCAAGAAAGUUCACCUGUUUUCCUCUGAUGCUCAGCCAUGAACAUCCCCUGAAAACUUCUCUAAGAGAUUGUUCCCAAUACCACUGCGCUUUAUCUGCCAACUGACUGAAAAGGGAGCUCACUGUGAGGGGAGUUUCUCCUAAGCAAUUCCUCUCCAGCGCUGUUCCUUCCUUCCCAAUGAGUGGCACCACAAGAUGUCAUUUCUGAAGCUGCAGCUGUACUAGGGCACCAGCUCUUCUUUUUCCAGCCAGACUUUGUUCUAUAGCUGCUGUGAGAAGCCACAGUCCUGAACUUAAACCACAGUCAAAAACAGCAGCCAGGGUGUGGGCAGAGGCUUGAGAGAGCUCUCCGAGUUCUCAUGUCUAACCUGUCCCUCUGAGUGGAAUUUGGCUUCACUACAGGGUUUCCUACCAUUCCUGUUUACUUCUGUAUACCAACAUAUAACCUUUACUCUGAAACCAAUUUCAUAACAGUUAUUAAAUGUUAUUUGAAUGUG